GACGAACGCUGGCGGCGUGCUUAACACAUGCAAGUCGAACGGAAAGGCCCUGCUUGCAGGGUACUCGAGUGGCGAACGGGUGAGUAACACGUGGGUGAUCUGCCCUUCACUUCGGGAUAAGCCUGGGAAACUGGGUCUAAUACCGGAUAGGAGCCAUUUUUAGUGUGAUGGUUGGAAAGUUUUUUCGGUGUAGGAUGAGCUCGCGGCCUAUCAGCUUGUUGGUGGGGUAAUGGCCUACCAAGGCGGCGACGGGUAGCCGGCCUGAGAGGGUGGACGGCCACAUUGGGACUGAGAUACGGCCCAGACGCCUACGGGAGGCAGCAGUGGGGAAUAUUGCACAAUGGGCGCAAGCCGGAUGCAGCGACGCCGCGUGGGGGAUGACGGCCUUCGGGUUGUAAACUCCUUUCGCUAGGGACGAAGCUUUUUGUGACGGUACCUAGAUAAGAAGCACCGGCUAACUACGUG
RNAcentral lists this ribosomal RNA (465 nucleotides) under uncultured bacterium. Its description in RNAcentral is "partial 16S ribosomal RNA". It matches the Rfam family "Bacterial small subunit ribosomal RNA", at positions 28 to 507 of the family's 1533-position model. The record is from RNAcentral.